ACCCAGUUGGCUCAGUCGGUAGAGCAGGUGACUCUUGAUUUUGGGGUCAUGAGUUUAAGCCCCACACUGGGUA
RNAcentral lists this transfer RNA (73 nucleotides) under Felis catus (domestic cat). It matches the Rfam family "tRNA". From Rfam's summary of the family: Transfer RNA (tRNA) molecules are approximately 80 nucleotides in length. Their secondary structure includes four short double-helical elements and three loops (D, anti-codon, and T loops). Further hydrogen bonds mediate the characteristic L-shaped molecular structure. tRNAs have two regions of fundamental functional importance: the anti-codon, which is responsible for specific mRNA codon recognition, and the 3' end, to which the tRNAs corresponding amino acid is attached (by aminoacyl-tRNA synthetases). tRNAs cope with the degeneracy of the genetic code in two manners: having more than one tRNA (with a specific anti-codon) for a particular amino acid; and 'wobble' base-pairing, i.e. permitting non-standard base-pairing at the 3rd anti-codon position. The record is from Rfam by way of RNAcentral. Lineage: Eukaryota; Metazoa; Chordata; Mammalia; Carnivora; Felidae.